RNAcentral lists this ribosomal RNA (439 nucleotides) under uncultured bacterium. RNAcentral describes it as "partial 16S ribosomal RNA". It matches the Rfam family "Bacterial small subunit ribosomal RNA", at positions 339 to 795 of the family's 1533-position model. The record is from RNAcentral.
CUACGGGAGGCAGCAGUGAGGAAUAUUGCACAAUGGGGGGAACCCUGAUGCAGCAACGCCGCGUGGAGGAUGACGCAUUUCGGUGUGUAAACUCCUUUUAUAUGUCAAGAAAAUGACGGUAGCAUAUGAAUAAGCACCGGCUAACUCCGUGCCAGCAGCCGCGGUAAUACGGAGGGUGCAAGCGUUACUCGGAAUCACUGGGCGUAAAGGACGCGUAGGCGGGUUGGAAAGUCAGGUGUGAAAUCCUACAGCUUAACUGUAGAACUGCACUUGAAACUUCUAAUCUAGAGUAUGGGAGGGGGGGAUGGAAUUAGUGGUGUAGGGGUAAAAUCCGUAGAUAUCACUAGGAAUACCUAAAGCGAAGGCGAUCUCCUGGAACAUCACUGACGCUAAGGCGUGAAAGCGUGGGGAGCAAACAGGAUUAGAUACCCGGGUAGUC